Molecule: non-coding RNA, 26 nt
Filed under: Homo sapiens (human)
Lineage: Eukaryota; Metazoa; Chordata; Mammalia; Primates; Hominidae
Source: RNAcentral
GACGUUUGACAUACUUGGUGUUCCUC